AAUGGCCGGGACAAAGGGUCGCGAUCCCGCGAGGGUGAGCUAACUCCAAAAACCCGUCCUCAGUUCGGAUUGCAGGCUGCAACCUUUUUUAUUGGAUG
This 98-nucleotide non-coding RNA is filed under the name Brassica napus (rape). The record is from Rfam by way of RNAcentral. RNAcentral also lists the same sequence under 1 other name. Lineage: Eukaryota; Viridiplantae; Streptophyta; Magnoliopsida; Brassicales; Brassicaceae.